GACUACAGGGGUAUCUAAUCCUGUUUGCUCCCCACGCUUUCGUGCAUGAGCGUCAGUAUUGGCCCAGGGGGCUGCCUUCGCCAUCGGUGUUCCUCCACAUCUCUACGCAUUUCACUGCUACACGUGGAAUUCCACCCCCCUCUGCCAAACUCUAGCCGUACAGUCUCAAAUGCAGUUCCCAGGUUGAGCCCGGGGAUUUCACAUCUGACUUAUACAACCGCCUGCGCACGCUUUACGCCCAGUAAUUCCGAUUAACGCUCGCACCCUACGUAUUACCGCGGCUGCUGGCACGUAGUUAGCCGGUGCUUCUUAUGCGGGUACCGUCAUCUACUCCAGGUAUUAACCGAAGCAAUUUCUUCCCCACCGAAAGAGCUUUACAACCCGAAGGCCUUCUUCACUCACGCGGCAUGGCUGGAUCAGGCUUGCGCCCAUUGUCCAAAAUUCCCCACUGCAGCCCCCCGUAGG
RNAcentral lists this ribosomal RNA (465 nucleotides) under uncultured Rhodocyclaceae bacterium. Its description in RNAcentral is "partial 16S ribosomal RNA". The record is from RNAcentral. Lineage: Bacteria; Pseudomonadati; Pseudomonadota; Betaproteobacteria; Rhodocyclales; Rhodocyclaceae.